CCUACGGGGGGCAGCAGUGGGGGAUAUUGCACAAUGGGGGAAACCCUGAUGCAGCGACGCCGCGUGUGGGAAGACGGUCCUCUGGAUUGUAAACCACUGUCCCCAGGGACGAAGAUGACGGUACCUGGGGAGGAAGCUCCGGCUAACUACGUGCCAGCAGCCGCGGUAAUACGUAGGGAGCGAGCGUUGUCCGGAAUUACGGGGUGUAAAGGGAGAGUAGGCGGGGAUGCAAGUUGGCUGUAAAAACUACCGGCUCAACUGGUAGUCGCACUCAAAACUGCAGCUCUUGAGUGAAGUAGAGGCAGGCGGAAUUCCUAGUGUAGCGGUGAAAUGCGUAGAUAUCAGGAGGAACACCGGUGGCGAAGGCGGCCUGCUGGACUGCAACUGACGUUGAGGCCCGAAAGCGUGGGGAGCAAACAGGAUUAGAUACCCCAGUAGUC
RNAcentral lists this ribosomal RNA (440 nucleotides) under uncultured bacterium. Its description in RNAcentral is "partial 16S ribosomal RNA". It matches the Rfam family "Bacterial small subunit ribosomal RNA", at positions 338 to 795 of the family's 1533-position model. The record is from RNAcentral.